Molecule: non-coding RNA, 740 nt
Organism: Salvia hispanica
Lineage: Eukaryota; Viridiplantae; Streptophyta; Magnoliopsida; Lamiales; Lamiaceae
Source: RefSeq, a predicted model, not a curated record
CCUAUCCUAAACACCCCAUUGUCGGUGCACAUAGAGGAGAAGCCUCUCUAGUUUUCAUGUUUUCUCUAGAAUCUUCACCCCCAAAAAGAUAUCAAGUCACUGUCAAAUUACAGAGAGGGGGGAGGAAGACAUCUUUGAAUGAAAAUAAUAAAAGGAGGAGGAAUAUUGCAAUUUAUCUUCCCCUAUGAACCGUCGUCGCCUCUUCCCGUUGGUGCCGCAGUGACGCAUCACUGUUGCCGUUUGUCGCCUCAGCUCCAAUCUCAACAACAUCACAUUCUCUUGUUCUUCCACUUCUUGAUACUCACCUUCAGUUUUACAAUUAAAUAGGAGUUGGGGUGCUACAGUUGUGAUGCGAAUAAAUAAUCAAUGGGUAUUUGGAGUCCAAUAAGAGAGGGGGGAGGAAGACAUCUUUGAAUGAAAAUAAUAAAAGGAGGAGGAAUAUUGCAAUUUAUCUUCCCCUGUGAACCGUCGUCGCCUCUUCCCGUUGGUGCCGCAGUGACGCAUCACUGUUGCCGUUUGUCGCCUCAGCUCCAAUCUCAACAACAUCACAUUCUCUUGUUCUUCCACUUCUUGAUACUCACCUUCAGUUUUACAAUUAAAUGUAAGCAUUUUAUCAUUCUGUAAUUAAUAGUUUCAUAUGUUGAAAGUGAAUAAUUAAGUAGGAAACAAAUGGAAUUCUUGAUGGGUGGGUAGGAAAGUGCCGACUAUUCUCUUUAUUGGACUUAGUGCUUUGGUUUUAA